UGGCUGUCGAGGGGUUUGGGUAUACUACUCAGCCCGCUGCUCACACUCUCACUGGCCCUGCAGAAGAGUUACCCUCGGUUGCAGUGUGGUCAGUGAUAUAUACAAAUAAUUUUUCGCACAUUGUGAAAAGUGAAAAUUAGUUAGAAAAAUAAUUGUCAGUGCAUUCUUUUAAAACCUACCAAAAAAAAAAAAAAAAAAAAAAAAGCGCGUGAUGUGGUGCAUAAUACAUAACUACAGUGCAUACUACAAAGAGAUCAGCUGAAUAUUGUGUAAUAUGUGAUUUCGUGAUUGAAAAGCGCGCGUUUGAGCCCUUUCAGUGCUCGCAGGAGGGCUAGUCAAAUUAUUUUUCUAAUAUAGACGAAACCCUCACAAUAUGUGAGUGAGAUGGUUAUCCAGAAGGCAACGAGUUCAGGUA
Molecule: long non-coding RNA, 415 nt
Organism: Macrobrachium nipponense
Lineage: Eukaryota; Metazoa; Arthropoda; Malacostraca; Decapoda; Palaemonidae
Exons: 3
Source: RefSeq, a predicted model, not a curated record